RNAcentral lists this ribosomal RNA (372 nucleotides) under uncultured organism. RNAcentral's name for it is "bacterial SSU rRNA". It matches the Rfam family "Bacterial small subunit ribosomal RNA", at positions 526 to 896 of the family's 1533-position model. The record is from RNAcentral.
CGUAGGGCGCGAGCGUUGUCCGGAUUUAUUGGGCGUAAGAGCUCGUAGGCGGCUCGUUGCGUCAAUCGUGAAAACCCGGGGCUUAACUUCGGGCUUGCGGUUGAUACGGGCGGGCUGGAGCUCGGUAGGGGAGACUGGAAUUCCUGGUGUAGCGGUGAAAUGCGCAGAUAUCAGGAGGAACACCGGUGGCGAAGGCGGGUCUCUGGGCCGAUACUGACGCUGAGGAGCGAAAGCGUGGGGAGCGAACAGGAUUAGAUACCCUGGUAGUCCACGCUGUAAACGUUGGGCGCUAGGUGUGGGGGGCCUCUCCGGUUUCCUGUGCCGUAGCUAACGCAUUAAGCGCCCCGCCUGGGGAGUACGGCCGCAAGGCUA